GGGGGCGAAUAUGGCUUCGACGGGAAUGUCAAUGUCUUACGGUGCAUGCCGAGGGUGUAUCUGCCUCGUAAAACACGUUACAAUUUGCUAAUAACUGGCAAAAACAAAGCAAACCGCGUUGUAGCUAACGACACAGCUUUUGCUGCUCGUAAAGCUGCUUAAUCUAGCUUAAGAACCUAGAUACGCACGAACCGAUAGUAUUUGCUUGUGGAUCUAUCUUACGUUCGUUCAUCUCUUUCACAAGAUCGCCAAGGUGUCUGUCUAAACACUGCGGUUAAACCUUAAGACUCGCUUAAAUGCUGCCCUGAUUUAUCGGGCAAAUUUAAGUUAAAGAUAAUAGAUAAAUCUAAGCAUGUAGAUCUGAAGAUGGCGAGUUUGCGGACGCGGGUUCAACUCCCGCCGCCUCCACCA
RNAcentral lists this transfer-messenger RNA (411 nucleotides) under Cysteiniphilum litorale. RNAcentral's name for it is "Standard tmRNA". It matches the Rfam family "transfer-messenger RNA". From Rfam's summary of the family: Bacterial tmRNA, also known as 10Sa RNA or SsrA, is named for its dual tRNA and mRNA-like properties. Lineage: Bacteria; Pseudomonadati; Pseudomonadota; Gammaproteobacteria; Thiotrichales; Fastidiosibacteraceae. The record is from Rfam by way of RNAcentral.